GUUUAUAGUGCUGUGAGUUUAACACUUCAUGACUGAGAGCAGAACACAACACAAUCUUCAUCAUCACACAAGACUCAACUACUACAAUGAACAACAUCCUCAUCCUCAUCUGGACUCUCACGCUGUUUGCUCAAGAGUGUAGAGGACAGAUCACUGUAACUCAGAGUCCAUCAUUAAUAACAACAACUCAAGGACAAGACGUCACAAUAAACUGUAAAACCAGCAGCAGAGUUUAUAAUGGUGACUUCUUACACUGGUAUCAGCAGAAACCUGGAGAAGCUCCUAAACUCCUGAUAUAUAGAGUUAACAGCCUCCAGUCAGGAACUCCAUCUAGAUUCAGUGGAAGUGGAUCUGACAGUGAUUUCUCUCUGACCAUCAGAGGAGUCCAGACUGAAGAUACAGGAGAUUAUUACUGUCAGAGUGCACACUAUAUCAGUGGUAGCUGGGUGUUCACACAGUGA
Puntigrus tetrazona (Sumatra barb) is the source of this 461-nucleotide non-coding RNA. NCBI's taxonomy places the organism in Eukaryota, Metazoa, Chordata, Actinopteri, Cypriniformes, Cyprinidae. The record is from the annotation of a RefSeq genome assembly.